This 586-nucleotide unclassified non-coding RNA is filed under the name Hevea brasiliensis (rubber tree). Lineage: Eukaryota; Viridiplantae; Streptophyta; Magnoliopsida; Malpighiales; Euphorbiaceae. The record is from RNAcentral.
AGCCCUUAUUUAAAAAAUUAAAAAAAAAAGUUUCCGGCAGACGGACAUCCAAUGACAUAGCUCCACGUGUUGAAAUAACAAGACUAGCACCGCUCACAUCUGCAAGAAGCGAGAGAGCUGGCUUGGGUUCACAACUCCAGGUAAGUGGGCUCCAUCUGCCUUCAACAAACUUGACACCUCCACAUACCUUUUAUAAUUUCCCUCACUCGGCUCGGCUUCUUCUUCUUCCCCACCCUCGCUUGUCCCAAACGGUUGACCGUAGAUCGUGCCCUUACUCAGGUAUUCAUGUGCUAAAUACCCAGCCAGGAUCUGAUUAAACGAAACCGGCUCAGAGAGUUUUCCGGAGCCGGCUUGAGGAGUGGUCGGCUUGGGUAAUUUUGUUGGUGUUGGUGUAGGUGAUGAUGGUGGAGACGACUUCAGAGAAUCAAAACCCUCCCUCUCCUUCCGCUUAUUUGUAGUCAAAACGCGACGGGGAGGGGGACGCAUCGUUUUGGUGCUCAUUCUCAACAAAUCGAUGCAUGCCACGUCAGAAAGUAAGAAAUUUAAAGAAUUUUUUGAAAAAAAAAGAAAAGAAGAAGAAUAAGGC